This 502-nucleotide ribosomal RNA is filed under the name uncultured bacterium. RNAcentral's name for it is "partial 16S ribosomal RNA". It matches the Rfam family "Bacterial small subunit ribosomal RNA", at positions 30 to 523 of the family's 1533-position model. The record is from RNAcentral.
AUUGAACGCUGGCGGCAGGCUUAACACAUGCAAGUCGAGCGGGGUGAUGGUGCUUGCACUAUCACUUAGCGGCGGACGGGUGAGUAAUGCUUAGGAAUCUGCCUAUUAGUGGGGGACAACAUCUCGAAAGGGAUGCUAAUACCGCAUACGUCCUACGGGAGAAAGCAGGGGAUCACUUGUGACCUUGCGCUAAUAGAUGAGCCUAAGUCGGAUUAGCUAGUUGGUGGGGUAAAGGCCUACCAAGGCGACGAUCUGUAGCGGGUCUGAGAGGAUGAUCCGCCACACUGGGACUGAGACACGGCCCAGACUCCUACGGGAGGCAGCAGUGGGGAAUAUUGGACAAUGGGGGGAACCCUGAUGCAGCCAUGCCGCGUGUAUGAAGAAGGCCUUCGGGUUGUAAAGUACUUUCAGCGGGGAGGAAGGCGGUGAGGUUAAUAACCUCGCCGAUUGACGUUACCCGCAGAAGAAGCACCGGCUAACUCCGUGCCAGCCGCCGCCGUAA